This 627-nucleotide ribosomal RNA is filed under the name uncultured Bacteroidota bacterium. Its description in RNAcentral is "bacterial SSU rRNA". It matches the Rfam family "Bacterial small subunit ribosomal RNA", at positions 57 to 688 of the family's 1533-position model. The record is from RNAcentral. Lineage: Bacteria; Pseudomonadati; Bacteroidota.
GCAGUCGAGCGGUAAGGUCUUCGGACCCUAGAGCGGCGCACGGGUGAGUAACGCGUACGAAACCUGCCUUUAAGAGAGGGAUAGCCCUGGGAAACUGGGAGUAAUACCUCAUAGUAUUCAUAAACUGCAUGGUUAAUGGAUUAAAGCUGAGGCGCUUAAAGAUGGUCGUGCGUCUGAUUAGCUAGUUGGUAGGGUAAAGGCCUACCAAGGCGACGAUCAGUAGGGGGCGUGAGAGCGUGGCCCCCCACACGGGUACUGAGACACGGACCCGACUCCUACGGGAGGCAGCAGUAAGGAAUAUUGGGCAAUGGACGGAAGUCUGACCCAGCCAUCCCGCGUGCAGGAAGAAUGCCCUAUGGGUUGUAAACUGCUUUUGUUUGGGAAGAAAUGUAUUUUUUUAAGAGUAUUUGACGGUACCAGACGAAUAAGCACCGGCUAACUCCGUGCCAGCAGCCGCGGUAAUACGGAGGGUGCAAGCGUUAUCCGGAAUCACUGGGUUUAAAGGGUGCGUAGGCGGCCAGAUAAGUCAGAGGUGAAAGUUUCCGGCUCAACCGGGAGAUUGCCUUUGAUACUGUUUGGCUUGAAUCAGAUUGAGGUUGGCGGAAUGUGACAUGUAGCGGUGAAAUG